GAUAUAAUGAAACAACAUUGUAGCGAGGAAAGCAUUUAGGGGAGCCCAGGGCUACAUACACAGUGCCUGGGAAGGGGGCAGAGAGAGAAGGAAACUGCGGGGCAUCCUUCUGCGCACAGGAGCCCAGCUCCGUCCAGGAGUGAGAGCGGACUUGGAAAAGAGAGGAGGGGGCCCUCUGUUCCCCUCCCACCCCUCUCAGGCCAGGAGGAAGAACAACUUUUAAUCAGCGCAGCUGGGAUUGCACCUGUCUCUAGAGUCCCCACCAUCCAAAGAAAGAGGAAAUUAUAUGAAAGAACAGAUCUGGAAACUACCUGGUUUUAUUUUUAUUUUUAUUUUUCUUCCACUUUGCUGGGGGUGGGGGGGAGUCGCGGUGCGGGGAAGGCGAGAAAGCUUAGCCAGCACAUGGAUCAUCUUAAGGUAAGUUAUUUAUAGUCCUUAAAAGCGCCUCAAGAGAGAUUUGUUUUGGGAGAUGUAGUGUGUGUAUGCGGAGGGGGGGGGGGGGUUCGUCCUAAAUUUUGCAUCCGGAUAUUUAAAUGAGGAAGGGUGUCAUUUCACUGUGGCAUAGUUUUAAUGUGAGUUUUGGUUCGGGGUGGGAUUGUUUCGCAUGUUAGUCUCCUUUUAACUUCUUUUCUCUGUCUCCGUACCCUGGGCCAGGGUCGGGAGCCAUGGGGCCAGGCGUUUGGGUAAGGGGGGGAGGUGGGAAUUUAAAAAUAAAGGCGAUUGCGCCAUGUUUGUGUUGCUAAGAGGAGGGCUGUGUGUGUGUGUGUGUGGCAUGGCUGCAUGCCACAUGGCUUCUCUGGAGCGGCCGGGUUGUGCGUGUGUUUUUCCCCCUCAGUGUCCGCAUUCCAGCUAAUGUUGCGCAGAUAAAAUUCGAACUUGAGGUAAACAGAAGAGGAAAGGAGGGGGCGGGGUGGGGGGGGAGGCUGUUUCCAUCCUGGCAUCCCACCUCUCCGGUUCGCAGAUAAGAUCCACAGCGGUCACACAAUCCCCCUUCCCACCUCCUUUGCCGCCAGCCAAAAAAAAAAAAAAAAAAAAAAAAUUUAGAGGAGCGGGACUGCAAACCAUAACAAAUCCCCCCUCCCCUCUGCAGCUGGGGGAGGGCGGAGCGCCUUUUUAUCUCCAAAACGUCACAUUCCAAAUCCAUAACAACACAGCCCCCCACCCACGCACACACCUUCGCCACCAGCGUAUAGGGAAGGUGCCAUUCCCCUUCGCAGGCUCGCAGCAUAGCGGUGCCCACUUGCUUGCCCCAGGAAAACAUCACGCAGAGUAGGUUGGAGCAGACAUGGAUCCCCAGUGAGUGCCCCACCUCAUCCAGCCUUGUUACUCUCAGGCACCCAGCGGGCUCAGAGCCUCCCCCAAAUCAGGGUGGAGUGGGUGGCUUUUCCUAAACAGGGGGGCAUGUUUCCCCCCUUAGUAAAGGUACAAGGACUAGAUUAUUACAGUGCUGAGCAUCUGGUUGUUGGUCGGUGCUGGAGCUCCCUGUGCAUGUGAGCGCAACGGAAAGAAAACUGAGACUGAGACACACUGAAACAGCAUAAUCAAAGAAUUGAAACAUGAGACUGUGAGCAAACACAACUGGAAGCAGUGGGCAUUGUGAAAAAGGAGGAUUUUCCUGAAUGUAUCUUUAAUUAUUCAGAAGACAUAUGUGAUCAUGUGAAUGUGGCUAGCAGAAGAGAGGUGGCUCUAGUGCAUGUUGCAUUCUGGAUUUGUUUUGUGCCUGCGAGGAGUUGAAUUCCUGAGCACUGGAGAAGAUCUAACCAUAUUGGCACUGGCUCUGCUCAUGACAGUACAGUGGGGCAGGUAAGUGCCAAGAAGGAACUGGGAGGCUCUAACUUUUCCAAGGCUCAGGAUUAUGCACUGAAGAAGAAUAUUUUAGAAGCUAAAGCUAGAGGUCAGAACAUGCUGGUCAGAAGGUACCAACCUUGUGAGAAUAUCCUGAGUGUGCCAGAAGGAGAGCAUAUUGCACAGGAGGGAAACCUGUCUACAAAUUGCUACGAACUGAAAGGGUCUCUACAUUCCUGAUUAGACUUCAGAAAACAUGCCCCAGAGUAAAUCCAAGUCGGCUUGUCUCUCAAGAGGAUGCUUGUUAAUGCCAAAUGAUACCUUCUGCUUACACAGCAAUACUUCUACCAGGUUAUAUGGGGAUGGGAGCCAAUCUACAGGCAAGGGCCAGCUGCGCCAGUGACCCAUGCCUCAGACAAGUCCUCUGAGAUCCAUGGGUUGUGUGUCAAACCAGCUACUUCCUUCACAGUCGGAUGUGCAGACUCCAUAUAUCCCCAGUUGAAAGAGCAAUGGCAAACUCUCCAACUUACCAGUCACCAGUGUGAAUUAUUCAUGGGUUGGGGACCCUGAGUAUAAAGAGGAGCAGUACACAUAUUCAAAACACAAAGGUAAUAGAUAAAAUUGUUACAUUCUGUAUGUGACCACUAGGGGAAAAGAGGAUUUCAACUCACACCACAAACAAGAAUAAAAGCUCAAUCAGCUUUAGAUGCUUUCUGAAUGCUGAGAUUGAGCCUUAAUGUCUGUAAUGAAUUGUUCCAAAAGCACAGAGAGAAAGUUGUACACACUGGAGACUAAUUUUCAUUUGUGCUGCGUACCCGCAGCUCCUUUUGAUGUCAGUUUGAGUAAUAUUUUGAAUAAUUAGCAGCUCUUACAAUCAGGUCUUUAGGGUUAAAUAUUCUGAGACUUUUUUGCAGACCUGAAAUCCAUAUACAUUGUGUUUACAUAACAGGUAAAUUGGAAAUUUGAUUAGGGGAAAACCUCGGCCCAUAAUGUAGGGCUGUUUUUUGGAAGCAGGGUUUUGCUAGUUCCUAAAGAUUUCUCAGACUCCUUAAGUGAUAACUGUUUUGUACACUUACAUGUAGGACAUGAGAGGCAAGGAGAUUGUAUGAGUCUAGAAAUUUUUAACAUGGUUUGUCAUGUCAUUCUAAUCCCCAGAAAUGACUUUUAGCUUUAUUACCAAAACAUGUUUUUCUUUCUGACUAGUCAUAUAGACCCAGACCCUGAUCUCCUGCUGCAUGCUGUGGUGAUCUUGAUUGCUGCUUGCUGUUUACCCUAAUUAACUUACGUAACCACGUGUAAAAUGGUAGAAUUGUUCAAGUAACAAAAACAAAGAAAAGUCUUCUGACCCAACCCCUGAAGUUUUGCUUUAAGUUAGGACUAAGUAAAACCUGAGUAGUGAAACCCUGAUUUGGCCCAUUGGCUUUCAUGGAAGUUGAAGAUGCUCUGUUCAUUGUGAAAUGAAACUCUCAUCCUUACUCUAGUUUCAUUCCCAGUGACUUGCCUGAGGAGUGGCUGUACAAUUUGGCCCUGACGGUGUGAAAUUGUUUCACCUGCCACUGUAAAUUUUAUUGCUAUGAUUUAUUUCUUUACUAAUUUUAAAGAAAGACUAAGCUUUGUCUCAGUUUUCUCAGACAUACCUCACCAGCAACAGAUAUGUCAUCUUGGUGAGAGGUAAGGUGGCUGUGUGGCUGCCUCACCCCAUGAAUCAUAAAAAUCUUGCUCCCACAUUAAGAAUAGAAUGUUCCCCUGUCAAUGCUCACUUAGCCUAGCAAAUUAAAAAUACUGCCUCACACUUGUUUUCUGACUGAAGGAAAAAUAAUAACAGUUUGCACAGUUGGUGAACUUUCUUAUUAGUCAGAGGGUAUUAAGCAAGUGGUGGUGAAAGUGAUGGGAAUGGAUGGCUCAGGGAACUGAUAAAGGGAUAUGGAACCUUUUUAUCUCUAGUGGUUUGAAUUCAGACCAAAUACAAAGUUACUGAGAAUUGUUAGUGUCAGAAGGUUUUUGUGAAAUGACUCCAUGGUCUCAGUUUGUGUCAUAGUGGACAGAUUGGCAUCACAGAACAAACACUCCAGUUAGCAUUAAUUGAUAUCUCAGUGGAAGGUUAUGUUCACGAUGGUCCCGGAGACUGAGGGCUUGUCUACACUUACUGGAGCAUCCAUGAGUGGUGUUCGAUGCAUCAGCAGUGGAUUUAGCUUGUCUAGUGAAGACUCGCUACAUCAAUUGCAGAUCACUCUCUCCCGACGACUCCUGUACUCCACCAGAUCGAGAAGAGUAGGGGGAAUCAGCAGGAGGGCGUCUCUCAGCGUUGCGUAGUGUGGACCCCGCAUUAAGCAGAUCUAAGCGAUGUCAAUUUUAGUUACGCUAUUCAUGUAACUCAAAUUGCGUAGUUUAGAUCGAAUUUCCACUGUAGUGUAGACAAUGCCUAAGAGUAUAAGGAUUCUGCCUGCAGGUCAAGGAUGAGAUAUACUGGUGGGGCAUUGCGUGGAAAACUCAUGCUACCACUUCCUAUGUUGUAUCUGUUCUGUUAAUAGAGGACUUCUCCAGGGAAUCUGACAUCUUUAACCAGUUCCACAUUUCAAACAAAAUUGAAGUAAAAAAAAGUUAAAAUAAUUUGAACAAUUUGUCUGACAUGAAGUAUUUAAAGGCUAUUGUCUGAAAAUUAUAGGCUGACUUGUUCUUUCACAGUCUCAUGGGUGGAUCCACUAAAGCUGUCAUACGUAAAGCUCCAGCAAAGUACAUUUACACAUCUCCUAUUAGGGAAGUGUAUGAAAAGGAAGUAAUAAAACUCAUUUUUUAGGAAUUUCCAAUACGGAAAUGUUACUCCUUUUGGGAAAGUUUUCCAAGUCACUACCAGUGAAAGUUCUCUAUGAUUAAUCUUGGAGUCACAUUUUAUAAUGCACGCAAUUGUUGUUUGCAUUAGCAAAAAUAAACGGAUGGGUCAUAUUUUAUUUUGAACUUUUUACCACAGGCAUUCUUUUACAAGAGGUAGAAGGGAUGCCUCACUAUAGAGACCUUGAAUGCUUCUGACUGGCUAGUCAUUUAUCUAAUCACAUGUAAAUUAGUGGAAUAGUUCAGCAACAAAAACAAAACAGUUUUAGGCCCUAAUCCUGGAUUGAUUUAAGCAUGUGCAUAAUUUUACUCAUGUGAAUAAUCCCACAAGUCAAAUAAAGUUAUGUACAUGCUAAUGUCUCUUAAGAACAGGGCCUACAUCAGCAAAUCUCCUUCUUAGCAUUUACUCUUGAAGAUUAAAGAAUAGUGUUUACACCAAGAAAAAACAUAACCAGGAAGACUCCCCAUCUUGAGGUUUUACCUAGUUCUGUGAAUCAUGAGUGUGAACUUUCCCUCUUCUGACUCCCAAACAGCUGCUUUAAAGUCCUUCCACCAGACCUUUUCGUUUCCUAUAUGCCCUUAAAUGUCUUUUAACCCCUGACAAGUAUUCUCUUGCUGUUUUUCCUGGAUUUGAUGCUGUGAAAGGAGGCAAGUCAUUUCUUGAUAGACUGGGGGUUAGCUCCUCUCCGCUUACGUGGACGCUUAGUUAUUAGAGCAUAUCAUGGGCCAGCAUCUCUUUUAUCUGAUUAUCUCAUGAUAAUUGUUCUGUACUUUUAUUACAUGUUUGAAUUUACAGCCUUUAUUUGAGAAUGUUUUUCAUUAUCGAUGCUCUGUAAAUAUUCAGAGUUACUGUUACAACAUUUGAAAGAUUUUUUUUCUUCAAAUAAUUUAAUUUACAUGUGCAAACAUAGUUAACAGAAUAACACCCAAAUCCUGCUGUCUGAAUAACACUUCCUCUGUGGGUUACACCUACUGAUAAGCUCAACUACAUGAAGAGAGCCUCCUCUUUUAAGCCCCAUCAACAUUUUACUAUAUAUGUCACCAUAUUGACUUGGAUUUGUCUGCAUGGACAAGAUGUAAUAAUCAGUGUCAUAAUCAUGUUAUGUCAAAAGCCUGUUACCUUUUCCUUAUACACAAUGUGAUUCUGUUGACAUAUGAUCUAAGCUCUUCUCCCAGGUCUUUUGGAAUUCCUCUUGGAUGGCGAGGUGUUCCGUCUUUAAGGAUUAUCCCUCUUAGGAGUUGUCCAUACUAGGUGCAGAGUCAUGCUAGUUACAGCACAGAUGUAACUAACUAGAUAGUUAGCAUGGUUCCCUGACCAGUGUGAAGAGGGAGUUUUGUCUGAAAGCCUUGGAUUGUUUCUUUGUGGCCCUGGGUUGGUCCAUUGUAGAUCCUGUCCAUACUUAUGUCCCUUCCACACUAUGAAAGUGCUGUUUUGUGAGACCUGGUUACAGCACGGUACUGCCAGAAGCAGUUAAAACUCAGUUCAGCGUUUCAGCAUAGAAGGGACCAAAUUAUGUUUUAGCUCUGUUAAUGAAUUGUGCCAUAGCCUAGCAAGGCCCAAGGCUCAGUAACAUGCUUUGAGAACACCUGUCUGUAGGGUAAAAUCACUGUAUUUAAACUGUGUUAACUGUUAGCAUUUUAUAUCCAGGCCCAGCACACAUGGUAGAUUUGGGAGCAGAACCCUGGGAGCAAUCUAUAACCAUGUUUAAAUCUAGUUGUUCCUAGCAAGGUUAUGUUAUGGGUUCUGUGCUUUUUACAAACAGGCACUUUUUUGUCUGCAAACCUUGUACUAAAAUUGUUCCUACGCUAUAACCUUUCACAGAGUUGAUAACCAGGUAGUGGCAUGGUUUGCUCUAAACAUGGUGUGUGGCGGCUGUGCGUAAGCUAUGGUUUGUAAUUCUUUUAGUAACCAUGGUGACAGACUAUGGUGCACACUUGCAAGAGGCCUAGACUGGUACAUUGUUGUCUUGCUUGUUAACACUGUUGUUUUGCUGUGCAGAUGGGACUCUUAACUGUGCCUGCCUGCGUAACCUGUUUGGCCAAUCCUCCUUCCUCUGAACUACCUGUGCAUGGUAACAAACCGGCCAAACAUUGUCCCACGUGGUGCUGUUGCCAUGCUGUGUGCAUGUCCUCUGGGUAACUUAUUCCUCUGCUGAUGCAUUAUGAAACAGCUGCCCAGCUGUUCCUAGAAUGUGUCAGUACAAACAUCGUUAGGAAGUGUGAUCUGUGUGGAUACACACGUGAUCAGUGCAUGGUUGUAUUGUGCAUAAAGCUGCUGUAUGGUCAUAAUUCAAACAAGUUUGUUCUGGCUGGGUCAGAUGGACAAAAUUUGGAUCAGCUCUUAAGGGAGUAAGUAAUCUGUAACACAGUUUGUCUAGCACUGUUCUAAGAAGAAAUCCCUGCCCACACUUCUCAGGACAUCUGCUUGUGCCCAGCUGCCAACAGCCGUGUUCUGAUGUCAGGCUUGUCCUACACAUUUUCUUUAAAAAUUCCUACCACUGCUGACAUUGGUUCAGCUCUAGCAACGGUGAGAGCACUAGUGUAAUCCUGUCUCUGGAUUCUGUCAUAUUACUCUGUGUAAAGCAUAUUAAUAUGCUGCACCCAGUCCACACUUGUGCUCUUGCUGUUACUAUCACCCGUGGACCAUUGGGAAUUGAGUGAACUCAGCUCUGGCAGGAUAUAUUCCACACCUUUAGCCUCAAACGUUUGCCACCGCCAUGGUGAAGAUCUGCAAUAAUGCCAGUUUCAUUAACACAUUCUGUGAUAAUGAAGCUGUGGGCACGUGUAUUGCAGAAAGAAUGAGAAGAGUAAAAUAAUGGGGUGAGGCUAUCGAUCAGUCUUUCAUUAUUAAUCCAGCACAUAAUAAAAUCCUGGUAGGCAUUCACAGGUCUUGAGUAAUGGAAUCCUGCAGCAUUUGCAUUCAUUUUGCAGUCGGUGAUUCUUGUCUGCAUUGUUAACAGUGUAAAUGGGACAUAAAAAUUCUUCAUUGAAUGGAUCACUCCAGAAUGAGGAAGUAAUAUUAAAAAUCGCCAUCUCUUUAAUGUAAAGGAAAUAAAUGCAAAACAAAUUGUACAUGCCUGUUUUCUAGGUCAUAUCAAGUUCACUGUAGUAACAGGAAGUCUCAUCUAAGAUGAAAACUUUCUGAAGCUCCCU
Molecule: long non-coding RNA, 7767 nt
Organism: Gopherus evgoodei (Goodes thornscrub tortoise)
Lineage: Eukaryota; Metazoa; Chordata; Testudines; Testudinidae
Exons: 7
Source: RefSeq, a predicted model, not a curated record